CAGAGGGUAGUUUAAGUGAAAAUAUUAAUUUUGGGGAUUAAUGAUAAAGUAAUAAUUUUCCCUCUGA
RNAcentral lists this transfer RNA (67 nucleotides) under Cyphoderris monstrosa. Its description in RNAcentral is "tRNA-Pro". Lineage: Eukaryota; Metazoa; Arthropoda; Insecta; Orthoptera; Prophalangopsidae. The record is from RNAcentral.